Panthera uncia (snow leopard) is the source of this 682-nucleotide long non-coding RNA. RefSeq lists it as uncharacterized. Lineage: Eukaryota; Metazoa; Chordata; Mammalia; Carnivora; Felidae. The record is from RefSeq and is a predicted model, not a curated record. The transcript has 3 exons.
AGAGGUCAGUAUGGGCUACUAUGUCAGCACAGCAAGGAUACUGGAGCAGGAUUUCCUGAGAAGGAGCUGUUUAAGCUGGAUCAUUACUUGAGUUCCAUAUUACUAAACAAGGAAGUCAUGAAGUCCAAGCAAUAAUGGAGGAACGCUGGCACCCCCAGAGGGAAAGGACAACAUCCUACAGCAGAGACCUGCAAACAGGGCUUGGAAUGCUACUCUGAUCCAGCUCCUUCAUGAUAAGUCUAUCUCUCUGGAUCUUGCUUUCUUUAUUGUUUCUGCCUUUGGUGGACCCUAAAAUUUACACGAUGAGACAAAGCCCAACAGCAAGAAGGCGCAAGUUCCCUGCAGGAAGCACAUCCCAUGCCUGCCUGCUCAUCCCCUGGGGCUUUCACUGGGAUGCAGACUCUCCUGCUGCAAAUGGGAGCCUUGGCCUGACCCAGACUUCCGGGACUAAUGGACCAGCUGAAGAAACCAAGAUUCAGUGUCAGGCAGCCCAUUUGCCUAAAGGUGUAAGCUAUAUUCUCCAAUAACAGCUUCCUGUGAAUCUCAGUGCUGACUUGAUUUGCCAUCUGCCUUACCCCUUCAUCUUGUAUCUUGGUUGGCUCAGAUCUUGAGUGAGGAAGAGGAGAGUUAUCCAUUGGACCUUUUAAAACACCAACUUUGUCUUACAAUAAUUUCUUAUUUA